This 588-nucleotide ribosomal RNA is filed under the name uncultured Glomus. RNAcentral describes it as "SSU rRNA". It matches the Rfam family "Eukaryotic small subunit ribosomal RNA", at positions 624 to 1213 of the family's 1831-position model. The record is from RNAcentral. Lineage: Eukaryota; Fungi; Glomeromycota; Glomeromycetes; Glomerales; Glomeraceae.
AAGCUCGUAGUUGAAUUUCGGGGUUAGUAGGUUGGUCAUGCCUCUGGUAUGUACUGGUCUCACUGAUUCCUCCUUCCUGAUGAACCGUAAUGCCAUUAAUUUGGUGUUGCGGGGAAUUUGGACUGUUACUUUGAAAAAAUUAGAGUGUUUAAAGCAAGCUAACGCUUGAAUACAUUAGCAUGGAAUAAUGAAAUAGGACGUUCGAUCCUAUUUUGUUGGUUUCUAGGAUUGACGUAAUGAUUAAUAGGGAUAGUUGGGGGCAUUAGUAUUCAAUUGUCAGAGGUGAAAUUCUUGGAUUUAUUGAAGACUAACUACUGCGAAAGCAUUUGCCAAGGAUGUUUUCAUUAAUCAAGAACGAAAGUUAGGGGAUCGAAGACGAUCAGAUACCGUCGUAGUCUUAACCAUAAACUAUGCCGACUAGGGAUCGGAUGAUGUUAAUUUUUUAAUGACUCAUUCGGCGCCUUACGGGAAACCAAAGUGUUUGGGUUCCGGGGGGAGUAUGGUCGCAAGGCUGAAACUUAAAGGAAUUGACGGAAGGGCACCACCAGGGGUGGAGCCUGCGGCUUAAUUUGACUCAACACGGGGAAA